RNAcentral lists this ribosomal RNA (377 nucleotides) under uncultured bacterium. RNAcentral describes it as "bacterial SSU rRNA". It matches the Rfam family "Bacterial small subunit ribosomal RNA", at positions 521 to 896 of the family's 1533-position model. The record is from RNAcentral.
UAAUACGUAGGGGGCAAGCGUUGUCCGGAGUUACUGGGCGUAAAGGGCACGCAGGCGGUUGUGUCAGUUUGCGGGGACAGUGGGUGGCUUAACUGCCCAAGCGUCGCAAAGACGGCACGACUGGAGAGCGAGAGAGGGACCUGGAAUUCCGGGUGGAGCGGUGAAAUGCGUAGAGAUCCGGAGGAACACCACUGGCGAAGGCAAGGUCCUGGCUCGUAUCUGACGCUGAGGUGCGAAAGCUAGGGGAGCGAACGGGAUUAGAUACCCCGGUAGUCCUAGCCGUAAACGAUGACCACUAGAUGUGGGAGGUAUCGACCCCUUCCGUGUCGCAGUUAACACGUUAAGUGGUCCGCCUGGGGAGUACGGUCGCAAGAUUA